RNAcentral lists this ribosomal RNA (205 nucleotides) under uncultured bacterium. RNAcentral describes it as "partial 16S ribosomal RNA". It matches the Rfam family "Bacterial small subunit ribosomal RNA", at positions 568 to 774 of the family's 1533-position model. The record is from RNAcentral.
CAUGUAGGCGGUUUUUUAAGUCCGGAGUGAAAAUGCGGGGCUCAACCCCGUAUGGCUCUGGAUACUGGAAGACUUGAGUGCAGGAGAGGAAAGGGGAAUUCCCAGUGUAGCGGUGAAAUGCGUAGAUAUUGGGAGGAACACCAGUGGCGAAGGCGCCUUCUGGACUGUGUCUGACGCUGAGAUGCGAAAGCCAGGGUAGCGAACG